RNAcentral lists this ribosomal RNA (399 nucleotides) under uncultured bacterium. Its description in RNAcentral is "bacterial SSU rRNA". It matches the Rfam family "Bacterial small subunit ribosomal RNA", at positions 28 to 414 of the family's 1533-position model. The record is from RNAcentral.
GACGAACGCUGGCGGCGUGCUUAACACAUGCAAGUGGAGCGACGAACCAGGGCUUGCCCUGGGGCAGAGCCGCGAACGGGUGAGUAACACGUGGGUAACGUACCCCGAUGACUGGGACGAACCCGGGGAAACCCGGGGACCGUAAUACCGGAUGUGCACCCUCACAUCAGUGAGGUGUGUAAAGGAAGCUUCGGCCUCCGCGUUGGGAGUCGGCCCGCGGCGCAUUAGCUUGUUGGUGAGGUAACGGCUCACCAAGGCCGCGAUGCGUAGCUGGUCUGAGAGGACGAUCAGCCACACUGGGACUGAGACACGGCCCAGACUCCUACGGGAGGCAGCAGUGGGGAAUCUUGCGCAAUGCGCGAAAGCGUGACGCAGCAACGCCGCGGUGGGGGAAGAAGG